This is a long non-coding RNA of Monodelphis domestica (gray short-tailed opossum), 792 nucleotides long. RefSeq lists it as uncharacterized. Lineage: Eukaryota; Metazoa; Chordata; Mammalia; Didelphimorphia; Didelphidae. The record is from RefSeq and is a predicted model, not a curated record.
UCAAAUUCUUUUCAGUUAUAAAUAUAUGAUCAUAAGAAGCCCAGAGAGGAUUCCCAGAGCUUGGAAUAAGAGAAGUAUAAUGUAAUGAAAAAGAGCACUGAAUUUGGAAUCAGGAGGCAUAGGUUGAAACCUUGUCUCCAGCUACACAUUUCCUGACAGAGAUUUAUGGGUUUGUGGACUAUUUUAUCAGAUGACACACUCACCACCCUCCUCUACCACAUUCCCCUACAGGAGAAUUCCCUCCAUCCCUAACUUACUUAGAUCAAACAGAAUUCUAACCUUUCUUCCACUUGACAACCUUCCCCAUACCUGAAGAUAGCCAGGAUGAUCAGCCAUUAUGGCCCUCUGAGUCUUCUCCUACCAAGAUGAGCAUCUUCAACUGCUCCUUAUAUGACAUACACUCAAGACCUUUCAACAACCUCAGCACUCUCUUAUGGAUGCUUUCCAGAUUAUCAGUGCCCAUGUUAACUGAUGGCAUCCCAAGCUAAACAGAGUACUCCAGACAAGGUCUGACAGGCACCAUGAGAGUCAGGCUGAGUUGAGAGGAAGCCAGGACCAAGAUAACACAAGGUAAUUAUGUGAAAAUGAGUCUCUGAUUUCAAACCAAAAAUCUUUCAUGAUUAUCAGUGAGAAGAUCCUGAAUUCAAAUCCCACUUUAGACACUAACUCUAUAAACUUGGACAAGUCACUGGUCUUCUCUGCACCUCAAUUUCCUCCUAUAUGAAAUGAGGAAGGUGGACUUGCUGGCAUCACCCUUCAAAUGUACUACACAGUGUUAUCUCCUAAAUUAAA